CAGUCGCCGCGGGAAUACGGAGGGUGCAAGCGUUAUCCGGAUUUAUUGGGUUUAAAGGGUCCGUAGGCGGAUCUGUAAGUCAGUGGUGAAAUCUCACAGCUUAACUGUGAAACUGCCAUUGAUACUGCAGGUCUUGAGUAAAUUUGAAGUGGCUGGAAUAAGUAGUGUAGCGGUGAAAUGCAUAGAUAUUACUUAGAACACCAAUUGCGAAGGCAGGUCACUAAGAUUUAACUGACGCUGAUGGACGAAAGCGUGGGGAGCGAACAGGAUUAGAUACCCCCGUAGUCCCUGUCUCUUAUAC
This 301-nucleotide ribosomal RNA is filed under the name uncultured bacterium. RNAcentral's name for it is "partial 16S ribosomal RNA". It matches the Rfam family "Bacterial small subunit ribosomal RNA", at positions 509 to 807 of the family's 1533-position model. The record is from RNAcentral.